RNAcentral lists this long non-coding RNA (755 nucleotides) under Heterocephalus glaber (naked mole-rat). Its description in RNAcentral is "lncRNA (ENSHGLG00000048708.1)". The record is from RNAcentral. Lineage: Eukaryota; Metazoa; Chordata; Mammalia; Rodentia; Bathyergidae.
GGUGUAACGUGCCUCUGUCUCAGCAGCUGUGCUGGAAACACGCAGAGUGAGCCUGGAAGGAACUAGGUCAUGACUGCAGAAGAGCGGCGUCCUGUCGGAGUGUGCUCUGGAGCAGAUUUUGGGAACAAAGUGCCUGCAUGAGUCAAGGCCAGGAAACCACAUUUCUGCCAAGCAACCAGGUGAUCUAACAUGGCUGGGCUACUGCACUCUCUUUGAGUGACUCCCAGAAUACCUGAGACUGGGUCAUUUGUAAAGAAGAGAAAUUUAUUUCUCACAGUUCUCAAGGCUGGGAAGUUGAAGAUCAAGGCACUGGAAGGUGUGAUGUCUGGUUUCAAGAUGGUGCCUUGUUACUGGGUGCUGCGGAGAUGAGGAAUACUCUUGCUCAACUGGCAGAAGAGAGAGAGCCCACUUCACAAAUCCUUUUUAUAGCAGCAUUGAUCCAGCCACGAGAUUAAAGAGGGCAGAGCCCCUAUACUUACACACCUCCUCUCAGGCCCCACCUCCCAACACUGCUACAUUGGGGUUUAGGUUUCUGUUAUGGUUUAUAUCUAGACUUCAUGCACUCUCAGGCGGAGCUUUUGGGGGUGAUUAGAUUAUGGGGUUUAAAGCUGACUUGCAGUUAGGAGGUGAGGUCUGGCGGGAAGAGGAGUGUUGCAUGGACGAGUUUAUCUCCUUGCCCAGCUCUGCUCUUGAAACUCUCUCUGCUUCCUGGUGGCCAGGUAGUGAGCAGCUCUCCUCUACCACACACCCUUGCC